Molecule: long non-coding RNA, 154 nt
Organism: Etheostoma cragini (Arkansas darter)
Lineage: Eukaryota; Metazoa; Chordata; Actinopteri; Perciformes; Percidae
Exons: 3
Source: RefSeq, a predicted model, not a curated record
AUAGUUUUUGGUUAAAAACAAACCAGAUGUUAAUCCGUGAGCUUCAGAGGUGGCGGUAGGUGGAUUUAGUUUCCUUUGGACAGAGUCAGGCUAGUUGCUUCCGCUUGUUUCCAGUCUUUGUGCUAAGCCAAGCAAACUGGCUGCUGGCUUUAGC